This 74-nucleotide transfer RNA is filed under the name Deltaproteobacteria bacterium. RNAcentral describes it as "tRNA-Pro". It matches the Rfam family "tRNA". From Rfam's summary of the family: Transfer RNA (tRNA) molecules are approximately 80 nucleotides in length. Their secondary structure includes four short double-helical elements and three loops (D, anti-codon, and T loops). Further hydrogen bonds mediate the characteristic L-shaped molecular structure. tRNAs have two regions of fundamental functional importance: the anti-codon, which is responsible for specific mRNA codon recognition, and the 3' end, to which the tRNAs corresponding amino acid is attached (by aminoacyl-tRNA synthetases). tRNAs cope with the degeneracy of the genetic code in two manners: having more than one tRNA (with a specific anti-codon) for a particular amino acid; and 'wobble' base-pairing, i.e. permitting non-standard base-pairing at the 3rd anti-codon position. RNAcentral also lists the same sequence under 1 other name. Lineage: Bacteria; Pseudomonadati; Myxococcota; Myxococcia. The record is from RNAcentral.
CGGGGCGUAGCGCAGCUCGGUAGCGCGUCUGCUUUGGGAGCAGAAGGUCGCCGGUUCGAAUCCGGCCGCCCCGA